RNAcentral lists this transfer RNA (72 nucleotides) under Heterocephalus glaber (naked mole-rat). It matches the Rfam family "tRNA". Rfam says of the family: Transfer RNA (tRNA) molecules are approximately 80 nucleotides in length. Their secondary structure includes four short double-helical elements and three loops (D, anti-codon, and T loops). Lineage: Eukaryota; Metazoa; Chordata; Mammalia; Rodentia; Bathyergidae. The record is from Rfam by way of RNAcentral.
UGGGAUGUAGCUCAGCAGCACAGCAUCUGCUUGGCAAGCACAAGGUCCUAAGUUCAAUCCCUGGUACCCCCA